This is an RNA transcript of Microplitis mediator, 4242 nucleotides long. It is a transcript of the gene named serine protease inhibitor 88Ea-like, with no coding region annotated. Lineage: Eukaryota; Metazoa; Arthropoda; Insecta; Hymenoptera; Braconidae. The record is from RefSeq and is a predicted model, not a curated record. The transcript is spliced from 7 exons.
UUAUCAUUACAUUAAGAAUUUUCAGUCUAUCACGUUCCUUUCUUCAGCUGACAGUAUCACGUGUACAGUUAAAAAAACUUAAGUAUUUUUGCAAUCAAAAUUAUUCAUCAAUACUUAUAUUAUUAUUCAUUUAUUUAUUUUCAUAUAUUUAAAUUAACCUCAUUAUUACGUAAAUGUUUGCCGGAAAAAGUGUUGGUUUAAAUUUUCGAUACUUGAAUAAAAUAAAAAAGGGCAUAUUAUUAUUAAUAAAAUAACAAAUUCAUCAAUGAAAAUGUUUAUGACAGUUGAUAAAUAAUUGAUAUUUAUAUAAAUAAAUAAUUGGACUAUUACUUAGUAAUAAUAAUUUAAGUAAAUGAUAUUAAAAUGAAUUGGAUAAGAAUUUCACAAAUUUUAUGUGUUUUUGGUUUUGUAAAAGAAUUUCGUCCAAAUGAACCAUUCAUAUUUGAAUAUUUAACUCACCCGCCAAAAAAUUUUACAAGUGUACAAGUAACAGAAGAAGUUUAUCCAAUCGCAACUUACAGCAAUUUUGCGACUCUAAUAAUCGUAUUUUUAUUAACCGAUUUCCUGAGAUACAAACCAGUGAUAAUAUUAUGUGGCCUGUCAGGAAUAAUAACAUUCACUGGUCUAAUAUUAGGCAGAUCAAUAGCAGCAUUGCAAUUUGUUGAAUUUUUUUACGGAUUCUACAUAUCAGCAGAAGUUGCAUACUACACAUAUAUUUAUGCUAAAGUCGAUAAACAACAUUAUCAAUCUGUUUCCAGUUACACUAGAUCAGCUCUAUUAUUUGGUAGAUUCAUUACUGGUGUCGUAGCUCAAUUGAUAGUAGCGUUCAAGUGGCUGGAUUAUCAUCAACUUAACUACCUCACUCUCGCUGGCCAAGUACUUGCAACAAUUUGGUCAUUAUUUUUGCCAUCAGUUGGCCAGUCGGUUUAUUUCCAUCGUAAAGAACUUAAUGAACCUGAGGGACCAUCGACUCAAGUAAUAACUGAAGAAAAAAAAUAUAAAAGUUUAUCUUUGUAUAAAAAAGUACAAAGGGCUUAUUAUUUAUUGUGGAAAGAUUUUGUAAAGGCAUUUACAAAUUUGUACAUAAUUAAAUGGUCAUUUUGGUGGGCUGCUGCUAGCUGCGGUUAUUUACAAGUACUGUCAUACGCGCAGCCUAUUUGGCAAACUUCUGUCAAAGAAAAUGAAACGAUUUAUAACGGAGCUGUUGAAGCUCUUUAUACAAUUAUUGGUGGGAUAGCAGUUUAUGGAGUCGGAAAAUUGAAACUCAACUGGUCAGCUCUCGGGGAUAUUAUUUUAUGUGUAUUUUCAAUAAUAAUGGCCAUAUUUUUAUUCAUAACAUCAUGGAGUUACAACAUUAUAUUGCAAUACGCGGUUUAUAUCGCUUUUGGUGUCGUCUAUCACUCUCUCGUCACCGUUGCUAGCUUCGAAGUAGCGAGCAGGAUAUCUGAAGAUAGUUUUGGUCUUGUCUUCGGUAUUAAUGUUUUUCUAGGACUGGCAUUUCAAAGUUUGCUAACGUAUAUUGUUACUAGUGGAAAAGUUUUAAAACUGGACAUUAGAACUCAGUUUGCUGUUUAUGCCGGAUAUUUUGCAGUACUCGGUUCAAUAUUUAUGUUAAUUUCAGUAUUGACUACAAUAAAAUUAUGCAAAAAAAGAAAAAAAUUAGUAUUGUGCGCUGAAAAUAAAAAUAACAGUCUUGUCACCGAUUGAUGCAAUGUCGCAAUUACGCGACCAAUAACCGCGAAAUUGCUAUAGCGUGAAAAUAAUUAUGCGAACAAGUAAUAAAAUAGUUAAUAUCCGUUUUUAUUUUUAUUUAUUUUCUAGAAAAAUAUCAAAGGUUUUAAAAAGAACAAUAACUUUUUUCUAACAACCAUUAUUGUGAUACUUAGAUAAAAAUUUCAUACUUAGAAAAUACAAUUUGUGUAGAGGUACCGUUUGUGGCCACUGCUCCAUUUUUGGACAUUAAAUACUUUAUUUUAAUUAAUGAAAAAGUGUAAAGUAAAAUUUCCAUUUUAAUAGCAGGAUAAAAAGAUCUAAAAAAAUUUAAAAAAUUAAUUAUGCUAUUGCGUCUUUUUACAAAUUAUGUUAUUUAAAAUUUUCGUGUCCCAAACUGACCCUGUGAUGGCCAAAAACGGUACCUUUACCCUAUCAAUUAUUAAAAUUUAUAAUAGUAAAUACUUUGAAUGCAACUUCUUACAGGAGUUUAAAAUUUUAACUAUAUAUGUAUAUUAGGAUGGUCGUUAAAAAUUAAAUUUUCGCAGGCGCUCAAUAAAAAGCUUCUUUUUAGUGAAAAUAUACAUGGGGAAUUUGGUUUUUUCUUUUCAAGUAAAAAGAACACGUGCCGCAGGACGAUUAAAGUUCAUUUUCCGAUAUAAUCGCGGUUUUUUUUAAAUAUCUCAAGAAAUAUGCAGAUUAAAGGAAAAAAUCAUAGAAACAAUUUUGUAGGAAAUUAAAUUCUUGACAAAAAAGGUCAUGCUCAUUUUUUUUAUAAAAUGUGUAUUUAUGAAGAUAUAUCAAAAAAACUUUUUUUAGAUCUGAUGAAUUGAAAGUUUUAAGGAUUACAAAUUUUGGAAAUUACUUUUUUCCGAGUAUAUAGAAACUAUAACCAGCAUUAAGGAUUGAUAUGUUACGAGUUACGAAGUUGUCUAAUUUAAGAAAAAACGUUAUUUUAAACAUUCGUAAUCCUUAAAAUGCUCAAUUGAUAAGAUCUAAAAAAGUUUUUUUUAAAUAUCUUCGUAAAUACACAUUUUAUAAAAAAAAUGAAAAUGACCUUUUUUGUCAAGAAUUUAAUUUCCUACAAAAUUGUUUUUAUAAUUUUUUCCUUUAAUCUGCAUAUUUCAUGAGAUAUUUAAAAAAAACCGCGAUUGUAUCGAAAAAUGAACUUUGAUCGUCCUGCGGUACGUUUUUACUAAAAAGAAGCUUUUUAUGGGGCGCCUGAGAAAAUUUAAUUUUUAACGAUCAUCCUAAUAUAUAUAUAUAUAUAUAUAUAUAUACUUCCAAACAGGGUUUAAAAAUAAUUUUUAUCUAGAAAAUAAUUUCAAGUAUUUAAAUAAUUUUUAUAGACUUUUAUAUAGAUCGUAACAGUAUUUUUUAUAAAUAAAUAAAUAAACUGUAAAAAAAAUGUGUACAUAUAUAUACGUAGAUACAUAUUUAUUUAGUGAGUACAUUAACUUUCGACACGUGGAAUAACCCACGCGAAAUUCAAAAGAUAAUUUUUUAUUUUAUUUAUUUACGUAUGAGAAAACCUUGACUGUAAAAGUCAAGUGCCUGAAAUAAAAUGACCAUUUGAUUUUCGAGUGGGAAAAUCCCGUAGUAUUUAAAUUAUUUAUCACAAAUAUUAUUUAUUAUUUACUUUUAUCAAAUAUAUUAUUAUUAUUAUUAUUAAUUACUUCCAUUAUAUUAUGACUGACGUAUUGUUUUAAAUAAAAGAAUAAAAAAAACAUAAAAUAUUGAAGAGAAAAAAAAAUAUAAGGAAAUAAUAAAUAAAUCUAGUCGGUCACGGAUAGAGAUUAAAUAAUGAUACAUAAUUUCAUUGGGAUUUUCCCUUGUCUCGAGUCUGAGAUGAGAUAAGAUGAGAUGAAAUGAAUGAUGAUGAUAAUGAUGUUAAUAUGGUACGAGAGUAACACACUUACGAAUAUCGUAAAAGUGUUAAAACAACUACUAAGUAAAUGUAUGGGUGAAUACUCUGGACAUAAAUUUACUAGUAGAAUGAGUCGCUUAUUCAUUUAAAUACAUACAUAUAUACAUACAUACAUAUAUUAUACGUAUAUAUAAUAAUAUAAAAAGACGAUACAAACUACACAUGGUGAAUACUCAGCAUAUAAAGCUGCGCGCAACAACAUAUUCUUCGGCAGUUAACUUUGUACAUUGAAUUGAAAAACAACGCGGAUUUUAUUAUUUAUUUUUUCUUAUCGUGCUAAUAUUUAUUAUUAUAGACUACAUUCUACAUACUAUUGAUUUUAAUUACAAUUGUAACUGUGUACAGAUUAAAUUUAUUUAUUGUGACGGUUUUUUUUAUAGUGACUAAUUAAAGUGAUUCAUUUGUUUGAUAAAAAAAAAAACAUGAAGCUUGAGGGGAAAGAAAGAAAAGUGGGAGAUGGUAAAACCAGACGAUGAGAUUUCUCCGGCAUUUGUUCAGUUUGACUUUGCCAUUGGCCAAAUACACUCUUAUUUUUGCUCAAGACCAUUAGAUUUAUAUAUUUUAUAUAACAAUAUACUUAUUAUUCAUACAUAAAUUUAUUUAUC